Molecule: ribosomal RNA, 301 nt
Filed under: uncultured bacterium
Lineage: Bacteria
Description: partial 16S ribosomal RNA
Rfam family: Bacterial small subunit ribosomal RNA
Source: RNAcentral
CAGCCGCCACGGUAAUACAGAGGGUGCGAGCGUUAAUCGGAUUUACUGGGCGUAAAGCGUGCGUAGGCGGCUAAUUGAGUCGGAUGUGAAAUCCCCGAGCUUAACUUGGGAAUUGCAUUCGAUACUGGUUAGCUAGAGUGUGGGAGAGGAUGGUAGAAUUCCAGGUGUAGCGGUGAAAUGCGUAGAGAUCUGGAGGAAUACCGAUGGCGAAGGCAGCCAUCUGGCCUAACACUGACGCUGAGGUACGAAAGCAUGGGGAGCAAACAGGAUUAGAUACCCCCGUAGUCCCUGUCUCUUAUAC